ACGAACGCUGGCGGCGUGCCUAAAACAUGCAAGUCGAACGGGGGAGCAAUCCCCAGUGGCGAACGGCGGAGUAAUACAUGAACAACGUGCCCUGAAGACCGGGAUAGUCAGUGGAAACGCUGGGUAAUACCGGAUGUGGCCGUCUUGUGGCAUCACGAGACGAUUAAAUGGUUUUUCGCUUCAGGAGCGGUUCAUGGCCUAUCAGGUAGUUGGUGAGGUAACGGCUCACCAAGCCUACGACGGGUAGCGGGUCUGAGAGGACGAUCCGCUCGAGUGGGACUGAGACACGGCCCACACACCUACGGGUGGCAGCAGUUGGGAAUCUUGCACAAUGGGGGAAACCCUGAUGCAGCGACGCCGCGUGGAGGACGAAGGAUCUAGGUCUGUAAACUCCUUUUUCACGGAAAGACUUAGGACGGUACCGUGAGAAUAAGCCCCGGCUAACUACGU
This 450-nucleotide ribosomal RNA is filed under the name uncultured bacterium. Its description in RNAcentral is "bacterial SSU rRNA". It matches the Rfam family "Bacterial small subunit ribosomal RNA", at positions 29 to 506 of the family's 1533-position model. The record is from RNAcentral.